CCUACGGGAGGCAGCAGUGAGGAAUAUUGGUCAAUGGACGAGAGUCUGAACCAGCCAAGUAGCGUGAAGGAUGACUGCCCUAUGGGUUGUAAACUGCUUUUAUAUGGGAAUAAAAUGUGCCACGUGUGGGAUGUUGUAUGUACCAUAUGAAUAAGGAUCGGCUAACUCCGUGCCAGCAGCCGCGGUAAUACGGAGGAUCCUAGCGUUAUCCGGAUUUAUUGGGUUUAAAGGGAGCGUAGGUGGAUUGUUAAGUCAGUUGUGAAAGUUUGCGGCUCAACCGUGAAAUUGCAGUUGAAACUGGCAGUCUUGAGUACAGUAGAGGUGGGCGGAAUGCGUGGUGUAGCGGUGAAAUGCUUAGAUAUCACGAAGAACACCGAUUGCGAAGGCAGCUCACUGGACUGCAACUGACACUGAGGCUCGAAAGUGUGGGUAUCAAACAGGAUUAGAUACCCUAGUAGUC
RNAcentral lists this ribosomal RNA (460 nucleotides) under uncultured bacterium. RNAcentral's name for it is "partial 16S ribosomal RNA". It matches the Rfam family "Bacterial small subunit ribosomal RNA", at positions 338 to 795 of the family's 1533-position model. The record is from RNAcentral.